Molecule: ribosomal RNA, 403 nt
Filed under: Salpingoeca fusiformis
Lineage: Eukaryota; Choanoflagellata; Craspedida; Salpingoecidae
Description: partial small subunit ribosomal RNA
Rfam family: Eukaryotic small subunit ribosomal RNA
Source: RNAcentral
GCUUGUCUCAAAGAUUAAGCCAUGCAUGUCUAAGUAUAAACGCUUUAUACUGUGAAACUGCGAAUGGCUCAUUAUAUCAGUUAUAGACUAUUCAAUAAUCUCUUACUACUUGGAUAACCGUAGUAAUUCUAGAGCUAAUACAUGCGAAAAGACCCGACUUCUUGGAAGGGUUGUAUUUAUUAGAUACAAAACCAAUGCGGAGCAAUCCGGUUCUUGGUGAUUCAUAAUAACUUUGCGAAUCGCAUGGCCUUGCGCCGGCGAUGAAUCAUUCAAAUUUCUGCCCUAUCAACUUUCGAUGGUACGGUAUUGGCCUACCAUGGUUACCACGGGUAACGGGGAAUUAGGGUUCGGUUCCGGAGAGGGGGCCUGAGAAAUGGCCACCACAUCCAAGGAAGGCAGCAGG